UAGGGAAUCUUCCGCAAUGGACGCAAGUCUGACGGAGCAACGCCGCGUGAGUGAAGAAGGUUUUCGGAUCGUAAAACUCUGUUGUAAGAGAAGAACAAAUUGUAGAGUAACUGCUACAGUCUUGACGGUAUCUUACCAGAAAGCCACGGCUAACUACGUGCCAGCAGCCGCGGUAAUACGUAGGUGGCAAGCGUUGUCCGGAUUUAUUGGGCGUAAAGGGGGCGCAGGCUGCUUCUUAAGUCUGAUGUGAAAGCCCACGGCUUAACCGUGGAAGUGCAUUGGAAACUGGGAAGCUUGAGUACAGAAGAGGAAAGUGGAAUUCCUAGUGUAGCGGUGAAAUGCGUAGAGAUUAGGAGGAACACCGGUGGCGAAAGCGGCUUUUUGGCCUGCAACUGACACUGAGGCGCGAAAGCGUGGGGAGCAAACAGG
RNAcentral lists this ribosomal RNA (429 nucleotides) under Verrucomicrobiota bacterium. RNAcentral describes it as "Verrucomicrobia bacterium partial 16S ribosomal RNA". It matches the Rfam family "Bacterial small subunit ribosomal RNA", at positions 355 to 776 of the family's 1533-position model. Lineage: Bacteria; Pseudomonadati; Verrucomicrobiota. The record is from RNAcentral.